CUCUUGCAUCAGCAUCUUGAUCAACUCGCUCAACAGUUGCCAACUGAAUCUGAUGAGCAAGGCGAACGUUAUCACCAAACUGCGCUUCCAUUUGAAAUAAGGUACAGAGGAAAGAAAUCUCCAGAUGCAAUACUCGCUGAAAUUUGUUGGUGGUAU
This is a long non-coding RNA of Rhagoletis zephyria (snowberry fruit fly), 156 nucleotides long. RefSeq lists it as uncharacterized. NCBI's taxonomy places the organism in Eukaryota, Metazoa, Arthropoda, Insecta, Diptera, Tephritidae. The record is from RefSeq and is a predicted model, not a curated record.